GACGAACGCUGGCGGCGUGCUUAACACAUGCAAGUCGAACGGAAAGGCCCUGCUUUUGUGGGGUGCUCGAGUGGCGAACGGGUGAGUAACACGUGAGUAACCUGCCCUUGACUUUGGGAUAACUUCAGGAAACUGGGGCUAAUACCGGAUAGGAGCUCCUGCUGCAUGGUGGGGGUUGGAACGUUUCGGCGGUUGGGGAUGGACUCGCGGCUUAUCAGCUUGUUGGUGGGGUAGUGGCUUACCAAGGCUUUGACGGGUAGCCGGCCUGAGAGGGUGACCGGGCACAAUGGGACUGCGAUACGGACCAGACGCCUACGGGAGGCAGAAGGGGGGAAUAUUGCACAAUGGGCCGGAGCCUGAUGCAGCAACGCCGCGGGCGGGAUGACGGCCUUCGGGUUGAAAACCGCUUUCGCCUGUGACGAAGCGUGAGUGACGGUAAUGGGUAAAGAAGCACCGGCUAACUACGUG
RNAcentral lists this ribosomal RNA (468 nucleotides) under uncultured bacterium. RNAcentral's name for it is "partial 16S ribosomal RNA". It matches the Rfam family "Bacterial small subunit ribosomal RNA", at positions 28 to 507 of the family's 1533-position model. The record is from RNAcentral.